UGCUGUUGGAUUCGCGGUCCCGGG
This 24-nucleotide microRNA is filed under the name Canis lupus familiaris (dog). RNAcentral describes it as "cfa-miR-8799b". Lineage: Eukaryota; Metazoa; Chordata; Mammalia; Carnivora; Canidae. The record is from miRBase by way of RNAcentral.